RNAcentral lists this ribosomal RNA (301 nucleotides) under uncultured bacterium. Its description in RNAcentral is "partial 16S ribosomal RNA". It matches the Rfam family "Bacterial small subunit ribosomal RNA", at positions 509 to 807 of the family's 1533-position model. The record is from RNAcentral.
CAGUAGCCGCGGUAAUACAGAGGGUGCAAGCGUUAAUCGGAAUUACUGGGCGUAAAGCGCGCGUAGGUGGUUUGUUAAGUUGGAUGUGAAAUCCCUGGGCUCAACCUGGGAACUGCAUCCAAAACUGGCAAGCUAGAGUAUGGUAGAGGGUGGUGGAAUUUCCUGUGUAGCGGUGAAAUGCGUAGAUAUAGGAAGGAACACCAGUGGCGAAGGCGACCACCUGGACUGAUACUGACACUGAUGUGCGAAAGCGUGGGGAGCAAACAGGAUUAGAUACCCCUGUAGUCCCUGUCUCUUAUAC